UGCAAAGGUGUAGGCUUAAGGCCCUGGC
Molecule: non-coding RNA, 28 nt
Filed under: Rattus norvegicus (Norway rat)
Lineage: Eukaryota; Metazoa; Chordata; Mammalia; Rodentia; Muridae
Source: RNAcentral